ACUUCGUGCCUGUUGAAGAAUGUUCCGGCGACUUAUAGUUAGUGGCAGGUUAAAAUAGAGAUAUUGAAGCCAGAGUGAAAGCGAGCUUGAAUAGAGCGAAAGUCACUAAUUAUAGACCCGAACCCGCUUGAUCUAACCAUGGCCAGGAUGAAGCAUAGGUAAUACUAUGUGGAGGUCCGAACCGACUAAUGUUGAAAAAUUAGCGGAUGAGUUGUGGUUAGGGGUGAAAUGCCAAUCGAAAGCGGAGCUAGCUGGUUCUCCCCGAAAUGUAUUUAGGUGCAGCGGUUAAUGUUUUAGCAUAGGGGUAAAGCACUGUUUCGGUGCGGGCUGGUAAUUCGGUACCAAAUCGAGGCAAACUCUGAAUACUACGUGCAUAAUUAACCAGUAAGACUACGAGGGAUAAGCUUCAUAGUCAAGAGGGAAACAGCCCAGAUCACCAGUUAAGGCCCCUAAAUAAUUACUAAGUGGUAAAGGUAGUGAAAAGGCUUAGACAACCAGGAGGUUUGCUUAGAAGCAGCAAUCCUUUAAAAAGUGCGUAAUAGCUUACUGGUCUAGCAGUUUCGCGCCGAAAAUUAAUGGGUCUAAGUAAUUUGCCGAAGCUGUGAGAUAUAUCUUUUGAUAUUUCGGUAGGGGAGCGUUCCAUUGUAGAAAGAAGUAUUAGCGAAAGCGGAUAUGGACGAAAUGGAAGUGAGAAUGUCGGAUUGAGUAGCGAAAACAUUGGUGAGAAUCCAAUGCUCCGAAACCCUAAGGUUUCCUCCGGAAGGUUCGUCCGCGGAGGGUUAGUCAGGUCCUAAGGUGAGGCUGAAAAGCGUAAUCGAUGGAUAAUAGGUUAAUAUUCCUAUACUAAUUAUUAUUGUUAUUAAGGGACGGAGCAGGUUAAACUAGCUGGAUUUUGGUUACCAGUUUAAGUAAUUAAGGUGUUGACGAUUGGCGAAAACAAUCUGAGCUAAAAUACGAGUACAAGACUUUCAAUAGUCAAAGUAGUUAAUAUCAUACUUCCAAGAAAAGCUUAUCAUAACGUAAAUAAUAAUUACUUGUACCUUAAACCGACACAGGUAGGAAGGUAGAGAAUACCAAGGAGCGCGAGAGAACCCUCUUUAAGGAACUCGGCAAAAUAACUCUGUAACUUCGGAAGAAAGAGUGCCCAAUUGGGUUGCAAUAUCAAGUUCCAAGCAACUGUUUAACAAAAACACAGGUCUCCGCUAAGUCGCAAGACGAUGUAUGGGGGCUGACGCCUGCCCAGUGCCAGAAGGUUAAAGAAAUGGGUUAGCGAAAGCGAAGCUCGUGACUGAAGCCCUGGUGAACGGCGGCCGUAACUAUGACGGUCCUAAGGUAGCGAAAUUCCUUGUCGGGUAAGUUCCGACCCGCACGAAUGGCGUAAUGAUUUGGAAGCUGUCUCAAGGAGGGACUCGGCGAAAUAGAAUUGUCUGUGAAGAUGCGGACUACCUGUGCCAGGACAUUAAGACCCUAUGAAGCUUUACUGUAUCCUGAAAUUGAAGAUUGAUUUUAUUUGCGCAGAAUAGGUGGGAGACUUAGAGUAUUCUCUUGUGGGAGAAUAGGAGUCAUCGUUGAGAUACCACUCUGAUAAAAUUGAUCUUCUAACUUCAUACCGUUAGCCGGUUGAAAAACAGUUUCAGGUGGGCAGUUUGACUGGGGCGGUCGCCUCCUAAAAGGUAACGGAGGCGCACAAAGGUUUCCUCAAAUCGGUCAGAAAUCGAUUGUAGAGUGUAAAGGCAUAAGGAAGCUUAACUGUGAGACAAACAAGUCGAACAGAGACGAAAGUCGGUCUUAGUGAUCUGACGCUGCUGUGUGGAAAGGGCGUCACUCAACGGAUAAAAGUUACUCUAGGGAUAACAGGCUGAUCUCCCCCAAGAGUUCCUAUCGACGGGGAGGUUUGGCACCUCAAAUGGGGGCAUUAUAAUUUAAAGUUUAUAAUGGCAAUUUGGCUAUAUGCUGGAAACUCCGUUCAUGAAAAAUGAUGUAGGAUCCUAAAAUACGGUGCCUUAAUAGGGUACGUAAAAAAGUUUAGGUGCGGACAAUCAGCAGGGAAGUUUGACUUUAUUUGACAAACCCCUCAACGACUACACGCCGAACAACAAUUGUUGAUGAUAUAGUCUGAUCUUUUAGGCGACUAAAAGGAUUUUUUGUCGUAAAUUUAAACGGCUUUAUUUUAAAUCGAAAUUCUCGAUUAUUGAAAACCAAAAUAAUUCAUGGAUACAACUUUCACCCAGCUUCAAAAAGAUUUAUUAGUUGGAUGCUUGU
Molecule: ribosomal RNA, 2262 nt
Filed under: wastewater metagenome
Description: bacterial LSU rRNA
Rfam family: Bacterial large subunit ribosomal RNA (bases 1-1969)
Source: RNAcentral